GUCUCUGGUUUUGUAAUGACUACCACUUUCCUCCUGAAAAUCUGUCUCCUUGGCAAAUCUGCUGCCCAAAAAACCCUGUUUUCAAAUAUUUGUGCAAAUGGAAAUAGAUUACAAGAAGGUGGCAGUGCGAUUUCUAAGUAUGAAUGAAGCUGCAUAUGUAUUUUUAUAAUAGCAAAUGUUUGUGUUUUAAAUCUCUUCCUUGGCAUCACUUUUUUGUUUAGGUGAAUCUAGGACAAAGAGGCUGACCAAAUCCAGAAAAUGAGUAUUUAAAAUAAAGUCACAUGAGAAUAUGCUUCUACUAUGGUAUAUAGGAUACAUCUCUAGAUUGACCAUCCUCUCGCUUGGAUUUUGUUGGUGCGUUGCACUAGAGGGAACUUGGAGGCCUCUUUGUGUUGCCAGAGAAGAAGAGAAUUUGUCCAGGAGGGAGCUGGGGAAUGCAACACAUAAGCACUCCACGAGGCAGACCAAGCUGAAAAGUUUUCCAGUGCUGAAAUACAUGCCCAACUGGAGAGUAAGGAAGAGGAAAAUGGACAUAACUGAGUAGGAAAUGGAAUGAAACUGUCUACUUAUUGCCAUUCAAGGAGGAAAACGUACGCUUACUUGGGAAAGACAAGACAAGGUUAAUAAUGGUACUAAAGAAAGUAGUUCUGUUUGCUCAAGAACAACAAGGAACUGGAGGAAAGUUGGCAUCCACAGAAGGAAAAUCUUCAAGGCUCUUUCCUCCUUUUCCAUCACCUGAUGAAACUUGCUUAUAUCUGCUGCUGACCUAUAUGCAUGUGUGUAUACAGAAAGGUUUAUUGAUUGAUUCAUAGGUAGAUAAGUAUGUUUGCGCGUGCACAGUAGCAAUUCUGAAAUAUCUUGGUAAGGAUCUACUUAAUAUAUUUGAAAAUUAACACAGUACCAAGUUAUUCUUCAGUUAACUUUCCAACCUCAAAAUCAGUCCUUCUCGAACCACAAUAAACACAAAAAAGCACAAACACAAAUAAACAUCUCUUUCAUUCCCUCACACAGCACAAAAAGGAGUAGCUACAAUUUCUGUGAAUAAAGCCAGCAUUUCUUACAUUUCUUACAUCCCUAUUUUAUAGUCAAAAAGCUGGCAAAUAAAUUCAUAUCAUUCAUAAGAAAUUAUCAUUAAGAGCACAAGAAAUUGCUCAUGUCUAUCUCUAAAUGCCUAUUGUUUUCAAAGUGUGUAUCAUUUGGACUAAUUUUAAUUCAGGCAGUACCUCUUCAGGCAAUGUACUGGGUUUACUGAAGUAACCAUCAGCUGGAUGGUUGCUAAUCUGGGCUCUUGGCUACUCACUUAUGCAGAUAUCCCAUUUUCAGGCAUAAUAUACAUACUGCAGCAAAUUGAUGUGACCACUUCUCUACCAGUUGCUAAACUAUUCUCCAGCAAUAUCUCAACAAACAGUACACACACUCCGCUGCUUCCAUCUUCUGUUGAGUUUAUAGAACAGGAUGUAAGAAUUCACCUGUAUAUAUAUUUAACAGUGCUUGGAUGAGCAUAUUCUCAUAAAGAGGUCAUAAAGCAGAUCAAAAGGGAGUAGAAAAGCCCAUCCAGAAUUUGAGUGGCAUGAAAGUUCUCCACUGUAGUGUUACUUCUGACCAGGGGUGACUUUGCAAAAGCCUCACCUGGGAGAGCUCUGCAGCUGCUUUAUCCAAAUGUCCAGACCUGCUGUAAUGAUGCUACAAGAUUGCAUCCUUUUUAAAUACUACUCUCUUUGACUUUAGACAGGGUAAAGAAAGGAUGAAGAAGAAUGCAAACAAUAAAGACAUACUAUCCGUAACUUCAGUACUGUUAAGGAAGCUUAUUUGAGUAACUGUGAUUUUAUGCAUACUGCUUACCUUGAUCAUGUCUCUUCAGUUCCCGGCAUAUAGCUCUUCAGGGCAGCAUAUUUCCCUCUAGCUUUUCCAUUCCAAAACUGGGACAAAGUUAUUUCCAAAAGCAAAAGUCUCCAUAGAGUAACCAGCACCCUCUUGUGUUCAUGGUUCGCAGAGGCCAAACCCUGCACCGGGUAACUCCGGAGCCUCAUUCGCUGCUCAGUGCACCUUCGCCUGCCCCACAUCCUGAAGGCUCGCACAUGUUCCUCCAAUAGUUGGCUGUUGCCCAGACAGGAGAGCAGUAACUAGCAAAACUAUAUGUAUCUCACAUGUUAAUUUGUGCAAACACCAUUAGAAAUCUUCAAUCUGAACAAUUUUUGACCUAGUAUUUCUUUGGAGCUACCACCACUAUGCUUUCCAGGAACCAUGGAAUUUUCUCAAAAAAGAGUUUACACCAUGUGCUGAUUUGGGCUGGGAUAGAGUUAAUUUUCUUCAUAGCAGCUAGUAUGGGGCUGUGUUUUGGAUUCAUGCUAAAAACACUGUUGAUAAUGCAGAGAUGUUUUCGUUACUGCUAAGCAGUGCUUACACAGAGUUGAGGCCUUUUCUGCUUCUCACCCCACCCCACCAGCAAGUAGGCUGUGGGGGCACAAGAAUUUGGGAGGGGACACAGCUGGGACAGCUGACCCAAACUCACUCAGGAUAUUCCAGACCCUAUGACUUCAUGCUCAUCAUAUGAAUCUGGGGGAAGAAGGAGGAAGGGGGGGACGUUCGGAGUGAUGGCGGUUGUCUUCUCGUGUAACAGCUACAUGGGAUGGAGCCCUGCUUUCCUGGAGAUGGCUGAACACCUGCCUGCCCAUGGGAAGUGGCGAAUGAAUUCCUUGGUUUGCUUUGCUUGCGCGUGUGGAUUUUGCUUUACCUAUUAAACUGUUUUUAUCUCAA
Long non-coding RNA from Harpia harpyja (harpy eagle), 2757 nucleotides. RefSeq lists it as uncharacterized. The transcript is spliced from 3 exons. Lineage: Eukaryota; Metazoa; Chordata; Aves; Accipitriformes; Accipitridae. The record is from RefSeq and is a predicted model, not a curated record.